AUCGGUAGCUCAGGACGUUGAAAAUCGAUUCUCGAUUUUCAGAACACAAUGUAUGUCGUUUGUAAUGAAGACAAACGAAACCAGUUCAUUGAGUGGAACAUUUGGAAGAAUCUGCACGCGACAAGGUUUAUCUUCCACAAUUUCACGAAAUUCCAACGUGAGCGACGUGUGUAAUUAUAGAAGUCAAGUACAAGUUCCAAAGUUUGGGAUCAAGCUAAUUCGGUAAAUUGCGAUGUAUAAUUUAUCUCAGAGUAUAAACUGUACUUAGGAAGAAGUUUAACCCUUUAAGUUACAUAGACGCAUGUAUAUAUGGACCUCCAUCGCUUUGGCAAAAUUCCAUCAUAGACUAUGUACCAAUUUGUUACCAAAAAAUAUACUUGUAUCUACUGUAUGCAAUUUCACACAGUAUUUAAAACAAUGUAUUAGCGCAAAACAUAUUUUGGAUUAUGAAAUUUAAAGUAUUCGAUAUUUCUAGAUGGAUUUGCAAUUUUUAUAAAAAUUACACAACUGGUUACGAUGAUGCAACUAACUUUUGUAAAAUAUAUGGCUAAAAUCUUCUUUUCAUUUGCCAUACA
Molecule: long non-coding RNA, 575 nt
Organism: Bombus terrestris (buff-tailed bumblebee)
Lineage: Eukaryota; Metazoa; Arthropoda; Insecta; Hymenoptera; Apidae
Exons: 2
Source: RefSeq, a predicted model, not a curated record